Prosopis cineraria is the source of this 1653-nucleotide long non-coding RNA. RefSeq lists it as uncharacterized. Lineage: Eukaryota; Viridiplantae; Streptophyta; Magnoliopsida; Fabales; Fabaceae. The transcript is spliced from 6 exons. The record is from RefSeq and is a predicted model, not a curated record.
CUAUUUUCACUGCCGACUCGCUUGCUAGACUCCUUUCUCCUCUCCAGUUCCCAGUUCUUCAUCCAGGCUUCAUUUUCUAAUCUCCACAGAUCCCAUCUCUUGCCUUUGCCUGUUGGUCUUUCUUUCUUCGCUCCGGUUAUAAAGAUUAGGGAGAUUAUAAAUCAAGAUCAGAGUGGUGAAAAAUCAAGACGGCAUUGCGGCAAUGUGCAGUCGCACAAAGAGUAGCAGACAGGAAGAAUGGACACUGGAAAGUGAAGACAGUUUCGAAUCGAUCAGUCGAAGCUUGAAGGAAGAAAGGGAAGCGCAAAGAAGAGUCUCAAACGGCGUCGAAGAAGGGUUUCUUGGAAUCAGACACACUCAUGACUGUCAUAGACGAAGCUCUGUAUCUCUCUUUUCUGUUGAGGCUUCAACUCCUCCAACUGCUACUUCUUUCUCAAAAUUCUUUAAGGGCUCGAAGGUCAUGAACUGGUGAAAUCAACAAACGGCAGCAAAAAAGAUGGUGAUGGUUUGGCAGAUCGAGGCAAAAAAUUGCGUCGCUUCUCUAGUAUGGUCAAGAUGCCACAACUCGUAUCAGGUUUCAGAAAAAAUUCUCGAGCUCUUCCUCUAAGCAUCUGAUACAAAAACAAGGCCAGUUUCCCUCACCUGUUGAUCCUUGAUGGGACAUUCUCUGAGGACAUAAUCUCCAAUGGUUUUUUAAUGGCUGCUUGAUCUUACUGCAAUAAUGGAAGCCUUUUCAAGGACUUCGUGAUAUCUCUUUCCAAUUCAGCUUCUCCACUCACUUUUGGUUCAGAUGAUGCGUUCACACUUAAUUCAGCACCCACUGGACAGACUUGGUGCUUGCGCGUACAAUAUGAAGACAAGUGAAUUUCUCUGUACUUGGACAGAUGUCCGUUGUUGAAAGCAUUAAUUGCCUCUCUCGAUGGAUGGUUCAGAUGCCUCUGAACGACAGAGUUAAGCAAGUUUUUAAUCUUCAAGUACAAUCAUCCGAUCUACCAUCUUCUUCUAACACAAGAGAGUUGUCUUCCUCAGGGCAGAAUCAAUUUAAGAUAUUAACAGCUUCUGUUUCAUUUUCUUCCUUUUGCUACCACGUCUACAAUUUGAUGAUGUCAUUCCCUUCAUCAGCACAAGGCACCCAAAUUUCGACAACCACACAUCAUAUAGCUUCCGUCUCCUGCCUCAGUUCUUCCUGAUCACCAUGCAUUUCCAGAAUUGGGUUUUGCAGCUGGUACUAGCAUGUCUCCUAUUGUACAGACUUUCACCCACGCAUGCAAACGGAAAUUGGCUCUGUUUUUGGCUAGCAAAACAGAUCAGAAGGAUGUUGGUUUUUGCGGAGUUUUAUCGAAAAACUCUGCACAGUAGAUGAAACGAUGGAGGGCCUUCACGGACAGCAACAUGGUAAAGGCCCAGAACAAGGAGCUGCUCUUUUGGAUUACUGUCUUUUCAGUCUGGCUUUAUAUGUUGUCUCAAGUUUUCUACUUCGCCUUUUGGUUGUGUAAGUGUCUCUGCUGUUGCAUGUUUUCUGGAAUAUCAUUGGCAAGAUUUUCAUCAGCCCAUGUUUUUGGCCUGGGUCUUUCAACUCCUACCGGAGAUUUUCAAAGCUCUUGUUCUCCAAUAUGCAUGGAGAUCAAGCAUUCUCAUGGUUCGUACAACACU